UGCGUAGGUGGUUAGUUAAGUUGGAUGUGAAAUCCCCGGGCUCAACCUGGGAACUGCAUUCAAAACUGACUGACUAGAGUAUGGUAGAGGGUGGUGGAAUUUCCUGUGUAGCGGUGAAAUGCGUAGAUAUAGGAAGGAACACCAGUGGCGAAGGCGACCACCUGGACUGAUACUGACACUGAGGUGCGAAAGCGUGGGGAGCAAACA
RNAcentral lists this ribosomal RNA (207 nucleotides) under uncultured bacterium. Its description in RNAcentral is "partial 16S ribosomal RNA". It matches the Rfam family "Bacterial small subunit ribosomal RNA", at positions 568 to 774 of the family's 1533-position model. The record is from RNAcentral.